RNAcentral lists this ribosomal RNA (462 nucleotides) under uncultured bacterium. Its description in RNAcentral is "bacterial SSU rRNA". It matches the Rfam family "Bacterial small subunit ribosomal RNA", at positions 28 to 469 of the family's 1533-position model. The record is from RNAcentral.
GACGAACGCUGGCGGCAUGCCUAAUACAUGCAAGUCGAGCGGACUCGAAGAGAAGCUUGCUUCUCGGAUGGUUAGCGGCGGACGGGUGAGUAACACGUAGGCAACCUGCCCUCAAGUUUGGGACAACUACCGGAAACGGUAGCUAAUACCGAAUAGUUGUUUUCUUCGCCUGAAGAGAACUGGAAAGACGGAGCAAUCUGUCACUUGGGGAUGGGCCUGCGGCGCAUUAGCUAGUUGGUGAGGUAACGGCUCACCAAGGCGACGAUGCGUAGCCGACCUGAGAGGGUGAUCGGCCACACUGGGACUGAGACACGGCCCAGACUCCUACGGGAGGCAGCAGUAGGGAAUCUUCCGCAAUGGGCGAAAGCCUGACGGAGCAAUGCCGCGUGAGUGAUGAAGGUUUUCGGAUCGUAAAGCUCUGUUGCCAGGGAAGAACGCUUGGGAGAGUAACUGCUCUCAAGG